Molecule: long non-coding RNA, 777 nt
Filed under: Gossypium barbadense (sea-island cotton)
Lineage: Eukaryota; Viridiplantae; Streptophyta; Magnoliopsida; Malvales; Malvaceae
Description: long non-coding RNA (GBAR_LNC021852)
Source: RNAcentral
UGACCAUUACUCCAUGUGAAUCUGCAUCCACUAGCAUCAAGUUGUAUAAGUUGCUUGGCAACCAUUACAUCCCGAAAUUGAUCCAUUCUCCUAAAAGACUCAGGUGCUCCACCUUGUUUCUCAUCUAAAGACAAAAUCUGAUUAAAAUCACCGAUAAUGAGCUAAGGCAGAGAGUCAAAAUCUAAAAAAUCCUACAGAUAAUUUCAAAAAAAAAAUCCUGAAUUGAAGGUGUUGGACUUACAUAAGCCGUUGUAAGAGCUUACUACAACCUCUUUCCAUCAUCAAUAAUAAGGGAAACAAAUUGUCUACUUCGGCAAACAACUUCCACACUACCAACAGAUGACUUCCAUAGAGUCCAUAUACCCCUGAAAACCCCAACGCAUCCACCUUCAUGUGAUUAUCAAACCGUAAAAUUCGAAUAACUUUAUCAGCAUUCCCUCUACUAAUACGUGGUUCCGCAAUAAUCAAAAUUUAAACUCUAUGUAACUGAACUAGCUCCUUUAUGUUGCGCCUAGCUUCUAAACUAGCAGCACCUCAACAACUCCAAAACAAAAUCGUGAAAAAUAACAACUCAAGCAAGAAGCCAAAGCUUGCAAAAUUAUUCUUGCAUAGAAGACACCAAGGUCGCUGCUUCACUACCAAAAGUUACAUUGUUCGCACUAAACGAUAUUAAAGAAGACUCAUUACAAACCAACCCCAUAGAAGAUGUAGCCAUAUCCUUCAAUACAACAAACGAGGCUAGUUUACCAACAUCGUUCAAAGGAGAAGGAACAUGAU